Molecule: unclassified non-coding RNA, 253 nt
Filed under: uncultured Rhodobacterales bacterium
Lineage: Bacteria; Pseudomonadati; Pseudomonadota; Alphaproteobacteria; Rhodobacterales
Description: contains 16S-23S intergenic spacer region
Rfam family: Bacterial small subunit ribosomal RNA
Source: RNAcentral
UACGUAGGUGGCAAGCGUUGUUCGGAAUUACUGGGCGUAAAGCGCGCGUAGGCGGAUUGGAAAGUUGGGGGUGAAAUCCCAGGGCUCAACCCUGGAACUGCCUCCAAAACUAUCAGUCUGGAGUUCGAGAGAGGUGAGUGGAAUUCCGAGUGUAGAGGUGAAAUUCGUAGAUAUUCGGAGGAACACCAGUGGCGAAGGCGGCUCACUGGCUCGAUACUGACGCUGAGGUGCGAAAGCGUGGGGAGCAAACAGG